RNAcentral lists this ribosomal RNA (489 nucleotides) under uncultured bacterium. RNAcentral describes it as "partial 16S ribosomal RNA". It matches the Rfam family "Bacterial small subunit ribosomal RNA", at positions 29 to 505 of the family's 1533-position model. The record is from RNAcentral.
AGUGAACGCUGGCGGUAGGCCUAACACAUGCAAGUCGAACGGCAGCACAGUAAGAGCUUGCUCUUACGGGUGGCGAGUGGCGGACGGGUGAGGAAUACAUCGGAAUCUACUUUUUCGUGGGGGAUAACGUAGGGAAACUUACGCUAAUACCGCAUACGACCUACGGGUGAAAGCAGGGAUCUUCGGACCUUGCGCGAUUGAAUGAGCCGAUGUCGGAUUAGCUAGUUGGCGGGGUAAAGGCCCACCAAGGCGACGAUCCGUAGCUGGUCUGAGAGGAUGAUCAGCCACACUGGAACUGAGACACGGUCCAGACUCCUACGGGAGGCAGCAGUGGGGAAUAUUGGACGAUGGGCGCAAGCCUGAUCCAGCCAUACCGCGUGGGUGAAGAAGGCCUUCGGGUUGUAAAGCCCUUUUGUUGGGAAAGAAAAGCAGCAGGUUAAUACCCCGCUGUUCUGACGGUACCCAAAGAAUAAGCACCGGCUAACUUCG